GUUGUUUCCUGUUUUCUCCCCGAUCUCAUCUGAUCUCGGAAGCUAAACAGGGUCGGGCCUGGUUAGUACUUGGAUGGGAGAAAGAACAAUUCUCAACUUCAUAUGGAAAACAACAAAAACA
Molecule: ribosomal RNA, 121 nt
Filed under: Meriones unguiculatus (Mongolian gerbil)
Lineage: Eukaryota; Metazoa; Chordata; Mammalia; Rodentia; Muridae
Source: RNAcentral